Glossina pallidipes is the source of this 94-nucleotide non-coding RNA. The record is from Rfam. NCBI's taxonomy places the organism in Eukaryota, Metazoa, Arthropoda, Insecta, Diptera, Glossinidae.
GGGGGAUAAGCUUAGUACGUAGGCGCCACAGAUGUCGAAUCGUGCAUGCUCUGUUAACACGGGUCAGUGGUAUCUUUCGAAGAUUUUUACCUCC